AGAGUUUUAGUCAGGAUUUGGCCAAAUGCCGAAAGAAGAAGAGAAAAGUUUUUAAUAAAUUAAAAUAAAUUAAGAAUGAAUACUAAAUAAAAAUUAAAAGAAUAAUUAAGGAAGAAAUAAAAAAAAAUAUAAAUAUUUGUGGGUUGUCUCCCACUAAGCGCUUUGUUUAAUGUCGCAAGCUCGACAUAAAAACUAUCAAUUAUAAUCUAUAAGUUCUGGAGG
RNAcentral lists this long non-coding RNA (222 nucleotides) under Lathyrus oleraceus (garden pea). Its description in RNAcentral is "Pisum sativum (pea) long non-coding RNA (PSAT_LNC015862)". The record is from RNAcentral. Lineage: Eukaryota; Viridiplantae; Streptophyta; Magnoliopsida; Fabales; Fabaceae.